Molecule: long non-coding RNA, 466 nt
Filed under: Coffea arabica (coffee)
Lineage: Eukaryota; Viridiplantae; Streptophyta; Magnoliopsida; Gentianales; Rubiaceae
Description: long non-coding RNA (CARA_LNC004165)
Source: RNAcentral
AGAGUUGGUGGCGAUGUAAUAGGGUUGCCUCUUCCAUGUGCUGUUGGUGAUGUGGUAUGGCAUUCUUCGCCCUGUACUUCACUCGGCAUUUAAUUUUAGCAAUUUGUGUAAAUUAAUACAGCCAUCUGUGUUGUUUCCGCUUAGGUGCCUAGACACUGGUACGAGGACCUGCUUGUUCAGUGCAUGGGCCUCAGAAAGAAAGUCUUAGAAAAAAGUGCAGAAAUAUUUCGUUUGGCAUCCAAUGUGUCGGACAACUCACAAGUGGUGGACCAAAGGCUACAUCAAAUACAGGUAAUUUUGGAAAGUGCAUUGAAGCUCCAAAAGGGGGCAGGGAAACGCUGCCUUCGCGGUGGAAUUGGUGGCUGGGAAUCCUGUCUUUCUAAGCGUCCGAACACAAGUGCCGGGACGGAGACAUUUACGGAAGACCUUGGUAGAGGCAAAGCUCACGAAUGUCAGGGAAUUCAUA